This is a long non-coding RNA of Thunnus maccoyii (southern bluefin tuna), 748 nucleotides long. RefSeq lists it as uncharacterized. The record is from RefSeq and is a predicted model, not a curated record. The transcript is spliced from 3 exons. Lineage: Eukaryota; Metazoa; Chordata; Actinopteri; Scombriformes; Scombridae.
UUAGCUACAUAAGUAAGCUAGCUGCACACUUUGUGGCUUGUGGGUUAAUGGUAAAAUAUAGUAAACAUCUGCUGUCCAUCUCCUUUAGUAACAUUUUACAGCAGCAGUGGUUUAAUUGUUCCUUGUCUCAUUGUUUUAAUACUGUAAUGAAAUACAGAAAUGAAACUUGCAGACGUCCCAGAGGAUCCACGACUUGGAACCCUUCUGAUUUUGGACCCUUUCUCUGUGGAUGCUGCUUCAAGAAGACAUGGCUCUAUCCACUGUGUUGGAAAAUAAACCGAUGGAACUAUCAGCACACAGCAGCCUGAAGCUUCAGCUCACACAGAUUGACCCUCCUUCAUUCUGGAUACUGGCUGCCAGUCAAUAUCCCUCUCGGUCAAAAUGGGGCAAUCAAAUUUCGGUUGCCUUUCACCACCACGUAUUUAUGUGAAAGCUCCACUUUGCAGAGAAACUAUGGCGAAGCGUUUGUUGUCUUGCUGCUGGCCGAGGCUCUCGCGUGCUGGCUGGAGAAACGCUGCAGAGCUGCCAGGUCGAGCGGCGCUGCCAGCCGCCGUCUCUCAAGCCAGAGACGCCGCUUCGGCCUGAGAGGUCUCAACCACCUGGAACACAAAGGCAUCUGACAGCAAUCAGGACAAGAGGGAAAAUGCAUGAAAACAAACACUCUUGUUUGGAGCGGAGGCUUCCUGGCUUUUGUCAAAUGCUCCGUUUGAGCGAUCCUCUAAUGUUCUGCAAGUGCAGAUGCUAAACA